Molecule: small RNA, 85 nt
Filed under: Xanthomonas campestris
Lineage: Bacteria; Pseudomonadati; Pseudomonadota; Gammaproteobacteria; Lysobacterales; Lysobacteraceae
Also listed under: 3 other names
Description: isrK Hfq binding RNA
Rfam family: isrK Hfq binding RNA
Source: RNAcentral
GUCGCCGCAAAAUCGGCGACCGGGAUUGGCGUCCCGUACUUACACGGCGCAACAGCGCCCAUCGAUCGAUGCUCGGCGCUUUUUU